RNAcentral lists this transfer RNA (69 nucleotides) under Rattus norvegicus (Norway rat). It matches the Rfam family "tRNA". From Rfam's summary of the family: Transfer RNA (tRNA) molecules are approximately 80 nucleotides in length. Their secondary structure includes four short double-helical elements and three loops (D, anti-codon, and T loops). The record is from Rfam by way of RNAcentral. Lineage: Eukaryota; Metazoa; Chordata; Mammalia; Rodentia; Muridae.
GGGGAUUUAGCUCAAUGGUACAGCGCUUGCCUAGCAAGCACAAGACCCUGGGUUCGGUCCCCAGCUCCG